AUUCAACUGUGGUCACCAAGAGUAAUUUCAAUCACUUAUAUUGGACAUUGACUCAACAGAUAGCACAUCAUACUAUUAAUGGUUGCAACUUAAGACCUGGCGAUCUCCUGGGAACCGGAACCAUUAGUGGACCUGAGCCAGAGUCCUUGGGAUGCUUGUUAGAGUUGUCAUGGAAUGGACAGAAGUCACUGUCAUUGAAAG
This is a long non-coding RNA of Humulus lupulus (European hop), 201 nucleotides long. RefSeq lists it as uncharacterized. The transcript has 3 exons. NCBI's taxonomy places the organism in Eukaryota, Viridiplantae, Streptophyta, Magnoliopsida, Rosales, Cannabaceae. The record is from RefSeq and is a predicted model, not a curated record.